CAGAUUUAGACCCAGUUCAGACCCAGGUUCAGACCCAGUCCGACCCAGCUCAGACUCAGAUUUAGACCUAGUCCAGACCCAGGCUCAGACCCAGGUCCAGACUCAGGUUCAGACCCAGGUUCAGACCCAGGCUCGGACCCAGAUUCAGACCCAGGCUCAGACUCAGAUUUAGACCCAGUCCAGACCCAGGUUUAGGCCCAGCUUGUCCCGCCCACUGUGCGGUUGUAAUGUUGUCCUGUGGCUCCUUCUGUCAGCUUAUCGAAACUUUUACUGACUGGACAGUAUGAAGGAAACCAGCUUCAACCCUGCAGCAUCUUCUGACCCAUGACUCAGCGUAAUCUCUACAUGAUGUCCAUGUAGGUCCAGAUUAUUCAGAGGAAUUUCAUAAAAUGGCAUAAGAUGGAUUUCUAUUCUCUAUUUUCUCAUCACAUUCAGUUAUUUUCGCUCUUC
Melanotaenia boesemani (Boeseman's rainbowfish) is the source of this 450-nucleotide long non-coding RNA. RefSeq lists it as uncharacterized. The transcript has 3 exons. NCBI's taxonomy places the organism in Eukaryota, Metazoa, Chordata, Actinopteri, Atheriniformes, Melanotaeniidae. The record is from RefSeq and is a predicted model, not a curated record.